Misgurnus anguillicaudatus (oriental weatherfish) is the source of this 1130-nucleotide non-coding RNA. The record is from the annotation of a RefSeq genome assembly. NCBI's taxonomy places the organism in Eukaryota, Metazoa, Chordata, Actinopteri, Cypriniformes, Cobitidae.
GCAUGCAAGUCCACAUUGAAUAAUGAUAGUGUAGUAGUCUGUAUGAGCAGAAGUUUCCUGUCGUCUUCUUUGCAUUGUGUUGUCAUGCUUCAGUGAUGUGUGAGUGUUUAUAGUGCUGUGAGUUUAACACUUCAUGACUGAGAUCAGAACAGAACAGAAUCUUCAUCAUCACACAAACUAAAAGAACAACAAUGACUUUCAUCAUCAUCUUCAUCUGGACACUUUUUAUCCAAGGUGUCAGUGGACAGAUAACUGUGACUCAAACUCCCGCUGUUAAAACUGUUCAGACUGGUGAAUCUGUCACUAUAAACUGCAAAACAAAUACACAAGUGAGCAACGGUUGUCCUGGUUCAUAUACUUGUAUGGCCUGGUACCUGCAGAAACCUGGAGAAGCUCCUAAACUCUUGAUUCAAUAUGCAAGUCAAAGACUCUCAAACACUCCAUCAAGAUUCAGUGGCAGCGGAUCAAGAACAGAUUUCACUUUGACCAUCAGUGGAGUUCAGACUGAAGAUUCAGGAGAUUAUUACUGUCAGAGUUAUCAUGAUGGUUAUGUGUUGACACAGUGAUAAAGAGUGAUACAAAAACCUCUUUCAGUCAGACUCACAGUGACUGAACUCAUACACCUGUAAUAACACACAACACUGAUCACACAAAUACCACUUAUGGUCAACAGAAAUCAUGCUAAGGUUUAUACAGGUAUGUAUUUUUGAUCAAAUAAAUUUAGAAUGAAUUGAAUUGAAAUUUAGAAAAAAAUGAAUUUCUCUUUUUUUUCGUAGAUGAUCGCCAUUGUAAACCAUCGUCAGCAGCACCUCCUUGUUAACAUACCUGACAACUUUUCAAAAAACCUUGAAGUGAGAUUUUGACAGGGGUUUAAAAUUAUGCAGCACACACAGCCACACAAGUUGGUGGCUCAGAUAUCAGAGAAUUGGAAAUAAUGUGAUGUUGUAUCCUGCAUUCUGGUGGUUUGUGGAGGCCCAAAGCCAUUGAUAGGAACAGCCUACUGGAGAUGGACAAUAUUGUUUACAUUCUGUGAGGCAGAAAUAGCUGAAGAUCCACCCUAAGGAAAUUUUGAAUGUGAUGUAGAUGUAGAGCUAAACAUUCAACCAGAAAACUAUUGUUGUGCCUAAAUG